Medicago truncatula (barrel medic) is the source of this 116-nucleotide microRNA precursor. It matches the Rfam family "MIR2593 microRNA precursor family". NCBI's taxonomy places the organism in Eukaryota, Viridiplantae, Streptophyta, Magnoliopsida, Fabales, Fabaceae. The record is from Rfam.
AUAUAAGCAAAAAAUUACAUUUUAGAUUCAUUCAUUUAAUGAUGUACAUGGUCUUUAUUAUAGACCACAUACAUCAUUAAAUGAAUGAACCUAAAAUGUAGUUUUUUUGCUUAUAU